This 216-nucleotide ribosomal RNA is filed under the name uncultured bacterium. RNAcentral's name for it is "partial 16S ribosomal RNA". It matches the Rfam family "Bacterial small subunit ribosomal RNA", at positions 524 to 736 of the family's 1533-position model. The record is from RNAcentral.
UACGUAGGGUGCGAGCGUUGUCCGGAAUUAUUGGGCGUAAAGAGCUCGUAGGCGGUUUGUCGCGUCUGCUGUGAAAACUGGAGGCUCAACCUCCAGCCUGCAGUGGGUACGGGCAGACUAGAGUGCGGUAGGGGAGAUUGGAAUUCCUGGUGUAGCGGUGGAAUGCGCAGAUAUCAGGAGGAACACCGAUGGCGAAAGGCCAGGCAGCUCGGACCG